Molecule: long non-coding RNA, 257 nt
Filed under: Brassica napus (rape)
Lineage: Eukaryota; Viridiplantae; Streptophyta; Magnoliopsida; Brassicales; Brassicaceae
Description: long non-coding RNA (BNAP_LNC020492)
Source: RNAcentral
AACCGGUUUAUCAUUCUUGAUCGGGUCUUCGCGUUUUCCACAUGAAGCUUAAACUCCUCAAACCGCUUCUUUGUGCUCUGAACAAAAGGAAAUAUGGAUACAUUACCAGAUGAACCAAAGUUGCGUAUGAGGUCCUAUGUGACAGGCAGGGAAAUGUUUACUGGAUCCUUGCCCUGACACGUUUUUGGCUGAAGCUAACGUUAACACUCAGUGGCAGCACUAUACAGAAGUGGAGGAGCAGUUCUAUCGGCAAAAAU